UACAGAGGUCCCGAGCGUUGUUCGGAUUUAUUGGGCGUAAAGGGUGCGUAGGCGGCGGUGUAAGUUGGGUGUGAAAUCCCGGGGCUUAACCUCGGAAUUGCAUUCAAUACUGCUUCGCUAGAGUACUGGAGAGGAGGCUGGAAUUUACGGUGUAGCAGUGAAAUGCGUAGAUAUCGGGAGGAAGGCCGGUGGCGAAAGCGAGCCUCUGGACAGUUACUGACGCUGAUGCACGAAGGCCAGGGGAGCAAACGGG
This 253-nucleotide ribosomal RNA is filed under the name uncultured bacterium. RNAcentral's name for it is "partial 16S ribosomal RNA". It matches the Rfam family "Bacterial small subunit ribosomal RNA", at positions 524 to 776 of the family's 1533-position model. The record is from RNAcentral.